GAUCAAGUGAAAGAAGGGCAUUUGGUGGAUGCCU
Molecule: ribosomal RNA, 34 nt
Filed under: Sinorhizobium sp. Mes-2
Lineage: Bacteria; Pseudomonadati; Pseudomonadota; Alphaproteobacteria; Hyphomicrobiales; Rhizobiaceae
Description: partial 23S ribosomal RNA
Source: RNAcentral